GCUGCGAUGGCCGAGUGGUUAAGGCGUUGGACUUGAAAUCCAAUGGGAUUAUCCCGCACAGGUUCGAAUCCUGUUCGCAGCG
This is a non-coding RNA of Strigamia maritima, 82 nucleotides long. Lineage: Eukaryota; Metazoa; Arthropoda; Chilopoda; Geophilomorpha; Linotaeniidae. The record is from Rfam.